UCCGCUUCGGGGAUCGUCCAGCAGCCCCUCUGUGACAUGGCUGCGUGGGUCAACACCCGGAGCCAGAUGG
RNAcentral lists this small nucleolar RNA (70 nucleotides) under Euglena gracilis. RNAcentral's name for it is "Eg-p7". The record is from RNAcentral. Lineage: Eukaryota; Euglenozoa; Euglenophyceae; Euglenales; Euglenaceae.